UACGGGGGGGGCAAGCGUUGUUCGGAAUUACUGGGCGUAAAGGGCUCGUAGGCGGCCAACUAAGUCAGACGUGAAAUCCCUCGGCUUAACCGGGGAACUGCGUCUGAUACUGGAUGGCUAGAGUUUGGGAGAGGGAUGCGGAAUUCCAGGUGGAGCGGUGAAAUGCGUAGAGAUCGGAAAGAACACCAACGGCGAAAGCACUCUGCUGGGCCGACACUGACACUGAGAGACGAAAGCUAGGGGAGCGAAUGGG
Molecule: ribosomal RNA, 253 nt
Filed under: uncultured bacterium
Lineage: Bacteria
Description: partial 16S ribosomal RNA
Rfam family: Bacterial small subunit ribosomal RNA
Source: RNAcentral